UCCGUUCGGUAGGUAAGGCUCCUACAGGGAUACGGACUGUUGCCGCAAAAUGGUGGAGACACCAUGAGCUGGUUUGAACAGGACACGUCGAAUCCAAGGCGUGUCAUAAUGCAGUUUCACCGCCCUGCAAAGCUAAAGCUCAAACGGACG
Molecule: small RNA, 150 nt
Filed under: Candidatus Faecaligallichristensenella faecipullorum
Lineage: Bacteria; Bacillati; Bacillota; Clostridia
Description: M-box riboswitch (ykoK leader)
Rfam family: M-box riboswitch aptamer (ykoK leader)
About the family: M-box riboswitch, also know as ykoK leader is described as a metaloregulatory RNA that sense divalent metals and function as a genetic control element of genes related to divalent metal transport in bacteria. It was first reported upstream of the B.subtilis ykoK gene and genes with related functions in other bacteria.
Source: RNAcentral